AGAUCAACGAGCUGAGCAAGGUCCAGAAUAAAAUGAUGUGGGAGAGGAAGCAGAUGAAGGAUGAGAUUUCUGAUCUGACCAAGGACAUUCAGAAAUUGAUGGGUCAGAUAUGGAACUGUGACUCCAAGCUGCAUCAGGCCACCCAACGCCUGGACAUCCUCAACCAGAGACCUGGACGUGAGCACUGCCUGGACCAGCCCUACAUCAGCCUCACACUGGAGAAACAUGACCUGGCAAAGAUGGUGG
Molecule: long non-coding RNA, 246 nt
Organism: Xiphias gladius (swordfish)
Lineage: Eukaryota; Metazoa; Chordata; Actinopteri; Istiophoriformes; Xiphiidae
Exons: 3
Source: RefSeq, a predicted model, not a curated record